UACGAAGGGGGCUAGCGUUGUUCGGAAUUACUGGGCGUAAAGGGCGCGUAGGCGGCUUGACAAGUUGGGUGUGCAAGCCCAGGGCUCAACCCUGGAAUUGCACUCAAGACUGUCUUGCGUGAAUUCGGUAGAGGUUGGUGGAAUUCCCAGUGUAGAGGUGAAAGUCGUAGAGAUUGGGAAGAACACGCGUGGCGAAGGCGGCCAACUGGACCGACAUUGACGCUGAGGCGCGAAAGCGUGGGGAGCAAACAGG
This 253-nucleotide ribosomal RNA is filed under the name uncultured bacterium. RNAcentral's name for it is "partial 16S ribosomal RNA". It matches the Rfam family "Bacterial small subunit ribosomal RNA", at positions 524 to 776 of the family's 1533-position model. The record is from RNAcentral.